GGCUCAGAACGAACGCUGGCGGCAGGCUUAACACAUGCAAGUCGAGCGCCCCGCAAGGGGAGCGGCAGACGGGUGAGUAACGCGUGGGAAUCUACCCUUUUCUACGGAAUAACGCAGGGAAACUUGUGCUAAUACCGUAUAAGCCCUUCGGGGGAAAGAUUUAUCGGGAAAGGAUGAGCCCGCGUUGGAUUAGCUAGUUGGUGGGGUAAAGGCCUACCAAGGCGACGAUCCAUAGCUGGUCUGAGAGGAUGAUCAGCCACAUUGGGACUGAGACACGGCCCAAACUCCUACGGGAGGCAGCAGUGGGGAAUAUUGGACAAUGGGCGCAAGCCUGAUCCAGCCAUGCCGCGUGAGUGAUGAAGGCCCUAGGGUUGUAAAGCUCUUUCACCGGUGAAGAUAAUGACG
Molecule: ribosomal RNA, 405 nt
Filed under: Sinorhizobium medicae
Lineage: Bacteria; Pseudomonadati; Pseudomonadota; Alphaproteobacteria; Hyphomicrobiales; Rhizobiaceae
Description: bacterial SSU rRNA
Rfam family: Bacterial small subunit ribosomal RNA
Source: RNAcentral